CGUCUUACUGCCCAACAUGGCGGACUUUGAUACAAUUUAUGAGUUAGAAGAAGAAGACGAACGAAUAGUGAGUGAAGAGCACCUCGCAAGAUACUGCCCCGAACCUGUGAUAAUGCGAGGGGCAGGCCACAUCACUGUGUUUGGACUUAGCAACAAAUUUGACACAGAAUUCCCAUCUGUUCUGACAGGAAAGGUUGCCCCAGAAGAGUUCAAGACAAGCAUCAACCGGGUAAAUGCUUGCUUGAAGAAGAACUUACCAGUUAAUGUGAAAUGGCUACUGUGCGGCUGCUUGUGCUGUUGCUGUACUGUGGGCUGCAGUCUGUGGCCAGUCAUAUGCCUCAACAAGAGGACACGGCGAUCCAUUCAGAAGUUAUUAGAAUGGGAAAACAACAGAUUAUAUCACAAGCUAUUUUUGGCUGGGCUAUUGAUAGAUUGCAGAGGCUGACCAGACUGUGCAAAGGUCAGCAGUAAAAAAAAUGGCUUGUGUCUCACACCAGAGGCUGACAGACUCUGCAGCCUGAAUAGUGAGGAAAACUCCUCAGAACACUAACUGCUGUUUGAUCCGGGUGAACCCACAUGUGUAAAGCCUGUCUGCAUGUCUGGAGUGCUUGUGUGGACUGGGAACCUGUAGAGCAUUCACUAACUCCAGUGCUUUAUAAUUCUCAUCAGCUGGGAUUGCACUGGAAACUCAGUAGAAGAAAAUGUGAGAGUAAUAACAUGAUGGAAUAUGUGAUUCUUAUAGAAUUCUUACCGAAAUAUCCAAUAUUCAGACCGGACUAAGAGCACUGCAGAGGGAUGCUGGUGAAUGGCUCUCACUCCGCUCCUUACUUAGUGCCUUGUAUAUAAACUUGGAUUGAGGGUCUUCACAGGUGUCUCUGUGUGGCCCUUUUUUUCCUCCCAGUACCUUGUACAGUAGAGUUCGCAACACUGUCACUUUGCUUUAGAGCAGAUUUUGCACAUUUCCAAAUACAGUAGAAUCGCACCGUGUUGCACCUGAAUGGUUUUGUUACAAAAAUUUAUUAACAUUUCUGUUGAAAAGUGCAUUUAACCCAGAAGUCAUCCAUCCUUCCCACCUUCAUAUGUUGACCACAACAAUAUGUUGAUAAAAUCAAGGCACCUUAAGGUGUGUAUUUGCCUUAUGAUAAAAAUAAAACCUUUGUUAAUAGAGGUGGAUGAAACUUCAGGUUGUAGUGAAAUGUCGCUUUGCUUUAGAGCAAAUCUUGCACAUUUCCUGAGGGUAGUUGCUCUAAAGCAAAAUGAAAAUGUUCAGGGUUCUCCUAUGCUAGUGGAAUGGGAAGGGAAUUUAAAGUAGCUAAAAUGUUUGUCAGCAUGUUUUGUUUUUUUUGUCUGCACUUUGGUGAUGUUCCUCUAUACAGGGGCAAGUUAAAGAAACAGACCAUUUGAAUAUAAUUUUGGACAAGAUGUACAGCCUAGUAUUUCAUGUUUACAUAAUGUAACUUAGCUGGCGAUUAGUUUUCUGCCAAUCUAUUAUUGUAACAUAGUUUUGUUUAUAAACUGCAUCUCUGUAACUUUCCAGUCUAUAUGGACCCGUUUACUUAGAAAGCCAUAACAUGUAUGUAUAACACGCCAGUCAAAAGGUGAGGGCUGAAAAUUGCACUUGAGCACACGGGCUUUCAGUUGAUUGUCCCCGAUUUUUUUUCCUUUUUUAUGUUGUAUAUACUGAAAGGAAAUUCAAAACCAUUUUGCCAAUCAGGAGUUAUUAAGAAUAUUACAUGUCAUUUAUUUUAACAUUAGUUUCACCUUGUAAGUAUGUAUGUAAAACAUUUUGUAGUCUCUUUUCUCUUGCUUUCUUACAUCUCAACUGAAUAGUCCAUAUGCUGCUGUACAGUGCAGAUAUGAGGACUUUGACGCUACUUUUCAUAUGUAUACUGAUUUUCUUUUUGUUACGACUGCCUUGUUUAUCUUUAUUUUUUAACAUAUCAGCCUGCUGGAUUAGAGUGCCUCUUGAAAUGAGCAGAAUGUUUGGAGUGGUAUACCUAAACUUUGCCUAAUUAUUUAGAGAGAGAGAGAGAGAAACCUCUCAGCGCGCUCUACUGUAGAGCACCUCUCACCAUCCUACUACAGAGUUCCUGUAAAUGUUUCUCUUAAUUUCUGUGAAAAGCAUAAAUAAAUUGUUGAUAAUGGU
Clarias gariepinus (North African catfish) is the source of this 2146-nucleotide RNA transcript. It is a transcript of the gene named cysteine-rich hydrophobic domain 1, with no coding region annotated. Lineage: Eukaryota; Metazoa; Chordata; Actinopteri; Siluriformes; Clariidae. The transcript is spliced from 6 exons. The record is from RefSeq and is a predicted model, not a curated record.